CCUGUGCGUUAGCCUUGAGGGUUAAAAAUAAUGCAUUAUCUGUCAAUUCUCCACACUCGAAGUCUUGCUGAUAAACCCAACAGUCUCUAGAAUUCAGGAUUCAGCAUCUACAAAUGGUUACAUUGUUACAUUUCAAACCACUGUUUAGGGCAAGAUUCUGAAAGCAGAUAACAGUCUAUUAAAAAACACUGCUGAGUUAACCCUUUCCCAGCCUAGAUGAGAGUAUAAUGGAGAUCAGUACAAGGCUAUUCCCUUCUAACGAUGUAAAGGCUAUCACCUCCUAGCCAUCUAAAGGUUUUCACUUGAAUGUAAA
Pelobates cultripes (western spadefoot toad) is the source of this 313-nucleotide non-coding RNA. The record is from the annotation of a GenBank genome assembly. Lineage: Eukaryota; Metazoa; Chordata; Amphibia; Anura; Pelobatidae.